Struthio camelus australis is the source of this 2912-nucleotide non-coding RNA. Lineage: Eukaryota; Metazoa; Chordata; Aves; Struthioniformes; Struthionidae. The record is from RefSeq and is a predicted model, not a curated record.
UCUUGGAGCCGCUUCAGCAUCGCAGGCGUCUCCUUCUCCACGGAGGCGAAGCCGCUGGACACCUGGCAGUGCUGCAUCACUCAUCUGCCCGUGCUGACCUCCUUCCCCCGACCCCGCAUCACAGCGCGGUGUACAAAGAAAACUUGAAUCGCAUCCUGUGGCAUUAGCCCUUAGCUGAGAUGAAUGAAGAUUUUACUUUGUAGGACUUCUGUAAGACCUCUUUAUAUGAGGCUGAGCACUCGCUGAGAGGAAGAAACAUAGCUAGUUUACCUGUAGAAAUAAGGCCUUAUGCCGAAUAUUCAGGCCAUUAAUGGAGAAAGAUCUAAAAGAGAGAAGAAGAAAGAGAGAAAGAAGAAGAUCUAAUAAACUAUGGGAAGUCUAUGAAUAAACAAAUUGUAGUGAAAAGCCAUAGCUGACCAAGCAGCUAGUUGAAAGAAGUUCCCUUAUUGGUCGUCCUGCUUCCUGCAGUCAGAAAAGCCAGUAGAAAAUUCUGCGUAAGGUUUUCAGACAGGGGAACUGCACUAUACGUGUUGUUCUUGGGCUGGAAAAGAUAAAGAAGUUGCUGCUUCCUGUGUGUGGAUCUUUAGUAUCUUCUUGACCACGAGAAACCCAAAGAACCAGACAGAAAUUUAGGAACAGAAGUAUUUGCAGAAGUAACAGUCCAUACAGCAAUGACACCAAAGAAGAGUGAAAUAGAGACCUUCCCCUUAAGAUGGCGACGUUACACAAUUCUGAAUGACCUUCCAGACUACUCCAAAAUGAUGGACAACUUAGGCUAUGUAGCAUAGUUAUGUGGAAGUCAGUUUUGUGUGUUUACAUGCAGUGGUGUUUCAUUACUACAAGGAUUGCAGAGCUUUGUUAUUAUUAAUUUACUUCUCUUCUUUUGUAGCUACAGUGAAUCACUGCUGUUUGCUACACUGAGCCUUUCUUAAGUGGUAAUCUAAAGUAGCAAAACGCCUUCAAUCUCAUUUGCAUCAGCUAUACAAGCCUGUACGGAUUCCCCAGCUGAUUCCCAGGUUAGGAGCCUGAUCCAGCCAUACUUUCAAAAGAGAAGGGAAAAGAGUCAAGUGCAAAAAGCAACAGCAGAAGCAGAGGAGUGCUUAUGCUAAUGACAGCUUUUAUGUAAGUACCCUGCCACCUGUAUGGCGAACUGCGGGAUGCCAGCCUUUGGCUCUGCUAGGGUAUGCCUAGGAACAUUUUAAUGGGAAGCUGACAUUUUUUUAAGAGCCAUCAUUACAGAGGAUUUUUUUCUCAAAAAAUUGCAACCACAUUAGAGAAUAUUAGCGAAAACUGAACACAGCAUUUCCAAACCUGACUCAGUCUGUAUGUGUGUUUUCUCCUAUACACAGAUUGACGGAUUGCAAGCUCUUUUUAGCAAGAACCAGAUUUUUCUACCAUAUUGCUUUUAUUAGGAACCUAAUGAGGUUUAUUUUUCCUAAAAAUCCUUGCUCUGUGGUCAUAACUUCAUGAAAGUCCUACCUCACUUUGGUUUCAUUACAAUUUUUGCCCUUCUCAUUAUGAAGAAAAGGUAGAAAUCUGAACCUUAAAGUUUCAAACACUAGAAAACGCAAAUAAAAGGAACUGAGAUUUUUCAGCAGGUCCGAUGAGGGAAUUUUGGGGUCUGACUCACAGUUUCUGAAUGUUUGGGUUUAGCAACACUGCUAGUUGCUAGACUAGAAGGCUUGGAAAAAAUUGGCUUAAGCUCACGCAAGGGUUUGAGCAGGAUGUUUCCUUUUAUUCUUCCCUACCCUAGACUAGUACCAAAUUACAUAAAUUGCUUCAGAUUUCCAACAUUUCCCAGUCUGGAAUAAUUUACAUUUGGAGAGACGGUGUGAAUUAAGCUGUUAUAAAAGGCUCAGAUGCAGUGCCAACUUGUUACUAUGCUCUUUCAAGUAUCAAAUGCUUUUUCUUUUAAAGAAGCUCUUAGAGAAUUUCUUGCAUCUGGAAUUCUCUCUCAUUGCACAGCUUAUUUAUCAAAUGCAAAAGAAGGCUUAUAAAAACAAAUACAUUCAUAGUAACACAACAGUUCCUGCAAGUGCAACUUGCUACAGUUGGAGGCUCUAUUGUACUACAGGCUAUAGGAAGAUGUUGCCUUCCUCAAGGAUAUUUCAACCUGAAUAAAUCUAGAUGCCUCACAGAGAUGCAGAAUGAAACAGAAGCCAUAAGCAGCCAAGAGAAGACCAGAGGACAGCAGGGCACCCACUGAACUGAUAGUGCAAACAGAACUUGCAGCCUGCAGCCUGAAUUGCACUUAAAGCCCAAAGCGAGAAGGUGGGCCUGACUUCACUUCUCAAUUCAUUAGAUAUUGCGUAGGGGACUUCAGUCUGCAUGUUACAUUGUAUGUGCCAUAAAUAGGAUACCUAGAGACCCUCCCUGUUUUUUGCAGACAUGUAAUUCCAUUUUCUGCCGAGGGAUAUGAUACACUUUCUGCCCAUUGAGGGUUGCAAAUACCGCAUUCAUACCACACAUUCGAAUUAAAACAGUAAAGCACUGGGUGAGGGUUUAUCUGAUUCAACUUUGGCUGUGGAAAGGGUGUUCUAAUUCUUGCUAUUAUUAAUACUUGUACCAGAGCUGUAUUAGUCCUAAGGUUUUUGCUAGCAAAUUGUAUUGUAUCAAAUAUGAUGAUCCAAACGCAACUUCUGACCAGGAAACUGCUAAAUGUUAUCUGCCAAAAGCUGCCAUAAUGUUCUAGGGGAAGAAUCACUCUGCAGAGAGAAACUUUCCCUAAGUACCCGCUCUUGGCCCCUGUUGAUGAUAUGAUAUCGAGCUAGCUGGACUUGAGUACAGAAUGAAUGUUCUUGUAUUUUGCCUAACUUUCCUCCUUUGGCUAAUAGAUUUUAGAUAGAUAGAUGGAUGUAAUACAGGUGCCACCUAUAAGGAUUUGUACAGUUCUGGUGAAUUUACCACUUGCA